RNAcentral lists this ribosomal RNA (468 nucleotides) under uncultured bacterium. RNAcentral's name for it is "partial 16S ribosomal RNA". It matches the Rfam family "Bacterial small subunit ribosomal RNA", at positions 28 to 507 of the family's 1533-position model. The record is from RNAcentral.
GACGAACGCUGGCGGCGUGCUUAACACAUGCAAGUCGAACGGAAAGGCCCUGCUUUUGUGGGGUGCUCGAGUGGCGAACGGGUGAGUAACACGUGAGUAACCUGCCCUUGACUUUGGGAUAACUUCGGGAAACUGGGGCUAAUACCGGAUAGGAGCUCCUGCUGCAUGGUGGGGGUUGGAAAGUUUCGGCGGUUGGGGAUGGACUCGCGGCUUAUCAGCUUGUUGGUGGGGUAGUGGCUUACCAAGGCUUUGACGGGUAGCCGGCCUGAGAGGGUGACCGGCCACAUUGGGACUGAGAUACGGCCCAGACUCCUACGGGAGGCAGCAGUGGGGAAUAUUGCACAAUGGGCGGAAGCCUGAUGCAGUAACGCCGCGUGCGGGAUGACGGCCUUCGGGUUGUAAACCGCUUUCGCCUGUGACGAAGCGUGAGUGACGGUAAUGGGUAAAGAAGCACCGGCUAACUACGUG